RNAcentral lists this long non-coding RNA (19900 nucleotides) under Gossypium barbadense (sea-island cotton). RNAcentral's name for it is "long non-coding RNA (GBAR_LNC005836)". Lineage: Eukaryota; Viridiplantae; Streptophyta; Magnoliopsida; Malvales; Malvaceae. The record is from RNAcentral.
UUAGUGGAGUUUUUGAAGUGGAACCAAAGAGCUGCCCUGGUUUUAUCUAUCGAUCUUCCAUCUUGUUGGGGCGCAUAAACAUGCCUUAUUCUGAAUUCAGAGAAUUUAUCGAGAAUGUAGCUUCCGAGUAUCAUGGAGAUACCUACCACCUANNNNNNNNNNNNNNNNNNNNNNNNNNNNNNNNNNNNNNNNNNNNNNNNNNNNNNNNNNNNNNNNNNNNNNNNNNNNNNNNNNNNNNNNNNNNNNNNNNNNNNNNNNNNNNNNNNNNNNNNNNNNNNNNNNNNNNNNNNNNNNNNNNNNNNNNNNNNNNNNNNNNNNNNNNNNNNNNNNNNNNNNNNNNNNNNNNNNNNNNNNNNNNNNNNNNNNNNNNNNNNNNNNNNNNNNNNNNNNNNNNNNNNNNNNNNNNNNNNNNNNNNNNNNNNNNNNNNNNNNNNNNNNNNNNNNNNNNNNNNNNNNNNNNNNNNNNNNNNNNNNNNNNNNNNNNNNNNNNNNNNNNNNNNNNNNNNNNNNNNNNNNNNNNNNNNNNNNNNNNNNNNNNNNNNNNNNNNNNNNNNNNNNNNNNNNNNNNNNNNNNNNNNNNNNNNNNNNNNNNNNNNNNNNNNNNNNNNNNNNNNNNNNNNNNNNNNNNNNNNNNNNNNNNNNNNNNNNNNNNCAUGUUUGUAUAAAGUCGAAUGUGAAUUGAAUGGUAUUAUGUGGUGACCGAAUAGCUAUUAUGAAACAAAGUCAAAGAAUGGGAUAUUUGUAUAAUUGAUGAAUUGUGACUAUUGUUCCUACUUGAUCGAGGUUGUGUGUGAAAUAAUUUGUGAAUAUGGCAUAUAGCCGAAUGGUUAUUAAAAGUGAAACUGGGAUACUGAAAAGAUUAUGUGUUCUUUGUGUAUGAUUAUUGAACCGAAAGUUAAAAGGUAUGUGUACAUUUUGUGCUUAUAUUCGAAUGAAGCAAUUGAAUUACUAAUGUGAUAUGUUAUGUGAAAUGUGUUGUAGCGCCCCUUACCCGAGACCGUCGCCGGAGUCGAGCACAAGGCACUACUAAACUUAUUUGAGCACUUAACAAAUUCAGAUAAUUUAUAUCAUACUUUUCAGACAAGCUGUCCAACUGCGUCAUAGUUGCUAAAAAAAUCAUAUCUCGAGUUAUAAAACUCGAAAUCCAAAUCCGUAAAUUUUCCCCGAAUUUAGACUCAUAUAUCUACUUACCAAUUUUUUAUAUAAUUUUUUGUUGGUCCAAUUAGUACAGUUUAUUAGUUAAAUUCUCCCCUGUUUCAGGGUUUGGCUACUUUGACCCCUGUGCACUACGAACCAAAUUUCUCUCUGUACAGAAUUCGAAUGAUCAUGCCGUUUAUUUUUAUUAAAAAUAGACCCAACGAGGAAUCCAUACAUAUAUAGUAUGACUCAUAAUUAUUUUUGUGAAAUUUUUAAUGAUUUUACAAAUUAGAACAAGGGAACUCGAAGUCAUUCAGACUCUGUCUCACAACAAUUUAAAUAUCUCAUAACAUAAAAUCCAAUUGCAUGCACCGUUUCCUCUAUAUGAAACUAGACUCAUUUAGGCUUUAAUCUCAUUUUUUCCCAGCCUUAAAUCAAUUUCCACAAUUUAUGGUGAAUUUUCAAAGUCAAACUACUGCUACUUACCAAAACUGUUUUAGUACAAAUAUUGUUAACUAGUUCAUAACAUCUUUACUUCAAUUCAUUCAAACUCUAUACAUGCCAUAUAAAUCUUUAAACAUAAAACAAAACUACCAGAAUUGAUCUGAAUAGUGUGCCCUGUUGUGUUGAUCCGAUCUACCCACUUCACUUCAAGUCAAUCUACAUAAAAAUAUUAAACACACACAAGUAAGCUUAUUGAAGCUUAGUAAGCUCAUAGGCAUAUAAACACAAAUCAUAUCAAAUAUCGUACACAAUCAUAUAUCUAUUAGUUUAACUAUUUCAUCCUCCAAAUCACAAUUUCAUUAUAACUCAUUGGAAUAAUUUCCAUGGCUACUCACAUUUAACUCCCUUAGGCCCAUUUCUCAUUUACUUCAUUGUCAAAUUAGGGAACAAUAAGGGAAUUGAGUGCUUCAUUAUCACAUUGCCAUAGUAAACUAUGGACUUUCACAUUGUUACGCAUCACACACCGAAGCCAUAGCCUUGCCAUGGUCUUACACGGUUCACAUAUCAUACCGAAGCCAUAUCCCAGACAUGGUCUAUACGGAAUCACAUUAUCACAUUAUACCGAUGCCAUAGCCCAGCUAUGGUCUUAUACGGAGUCACAUUGCAACCGAUGCCAUAGCCCAGCUAUGGUCUUAAACGGGCACACUUAUCACAUAUUUUUCGUCAAUUCAUCAGGGUCACAGAAUAGAAGCACUCAAAUCCAUUGUUCCUACUAAUUUGUACUUUUAGUUACACAUUAUUCAUUAGUUAAUGCAAAUUGAUAGUAGUCAUCAACAAUAAAAAUACUUUAACAAUCAUAAGAUUUUCAUAUCAAAACAUUGAACUUUUCCAUAUGAACUUACCUGGACUAAUUUGCAAAAGUCGUAGAAAUUCAGGGACUAUUCUUAAAUUUUCUCCUUUCCACAAUUCAGUUCGUUUUCUUGAUCUAUAAUUAUAAAAUCAUUCCUUCAUUAGCAUCCAUUUCAAUUCUAUUUCACUUCACAAUUUAUGCUGGUUCAAAUUUUGAAAUUGCACUUUUUACCCCAAAAUUUACAGUUUUCACAAUUUAGUCCCUGCUCAAUUCACCCAUCAAUUGAACUAAUUUUUUCUCAAUUAACACUUUAUUUUUAUCAUUAUAAACUAUUUCAAAACCUUUUAUAUUCUUAAUUUCAACAGAAACCUUCAAUUCACAACUUUUUCACAAUUAGGUCCUAAUAUCAUUUCCUAUCAAAAUCACUUAAUAAAACCACCUAAUAUGAAAUUAGAACUUAAAAUUUCAUAAUAAUUCAUCAUAAAAUUUCCUUAUCCAUCCAGGGUAACUUCCAAUUUCACCCAUAAAAUCAAAAACUAAUGAAUUCUACAAGUGGACCUAAUUGUAAAAGUCAUAAAACAUAAAAAUUAUCAAUAAAAAGUAAGAAUUAAACUCACAUGAUGUAAAAAUAUGAAAAACCAGCUUUCUCCAGACCUUCUAUGGCGUUUUGGCUGAGAAAAUAUGAAGAAAUGUCUAGAUUUUUCAAUUACAUCAUUAUUUAAACUAUUAACUUUUAUGCUAUUUCCAAUUUGCCCCUUGUUCACAUUGUUUUCUUGCUUAUUUCAUACCCAAACCGUCCAGCCAUUAACCUUUGGGUCUAAUUUUUCUUUAAAUCCAUCUUUUUAAAUACUUAAGCUAUUUACUCACAUUUAACAAAUUUUGCACUAUUUUCAAUUUAGUCCUUUUUAAUUAAUUAGCCAUCCAAACGUUAAAAUUUUCUAACGAACUUUAAUACUAACUUAAUGACACUCCAUAAAUAUUUAUAAAAAUAUUUAUAGCUCGAUUUUCAACUUUGAGGUCUCGAUACCUUCAUUUUUGACCCGUUUGACCUAACAAAUUCUUUUAAUUCACUAAUUCUUCACCAUUUCACAAAUUCUUCUAAAUUCUUAACUUGACUCAUAAAUAUUAAAUUACUAUCUUGUUCAAUCUUAUUUGUCGAAUUUAGUGAUCUCAAAUCACCAUUUCCGACACCACUGAAAAUUAGGCCGUUACAGUGUUAACAUGUGAAAAAAUAUGCAAGAUACUGGAAAUGUAUCCGGGCUAAAGUCCCACAGGAUUCGUGCUGGAAAUGUAUCCGGGCGCAGGCUUCGUGUUGGAAAUGUAUCCGGGCGCAGGCUUCGUGCUGGAAAUGUAUCCGGGCUAAAGUCCCGCAUGCUUCGUGCUGGUAAUAUAAUUUCGGAUUUUAUACCUAGCAGGCCAAGUGGCGAUGAAUUUGAUAAAAGUAUACAAUUACAAGAUCCUACACUAAGAUGACAAAUUGAAAGUGCAUUACAUAUUAAGUUGGCCAGGUAUGUAUCAUGUACUUGUAUGCGAUUUUGAUUUGAAUUAAAUUAUAAAUGUAUAAAGUGAUGCAUCUGUGAAUAAGUGUUAUGACUAUAAAUGUGAUCGUGAUACAUUCGGUAAAUGUGUGAAGUUAUGUGAAGUGAUUCUAUGUUUAUAUUCAAAUAUAAACACUUGGUCCUUGUGGAAAGGUUUGUGGAAGUAUAUGAUUUUAUUUUUAGGUGAUUACGAUCAUGGAAAAUUAAAUGUGAAUAUGAUAUUGUAUUUUAUUCGUUUCAAUUGAACUAAAGUUGAUAGUGAAGCAUUUUAAUGCCUAUGUUAUAUGAGUUCGAUAUUGAAUGACAUGAUAUACAUGUUUAAAUAAUUUGAAUGUAAGGAAUGUGUGAAAGAGCAAAUUUGUAAUAAAUAUGCUUGGGAUAACAACAGUAACGUGAUUUUGUAAAAUCACCAUAAAUUUUGGAAAUUGAAUUAGAAGUUGAAUAAAUUAUGUAAUUAAAGCUUAAUGAGUCUAGUUUCUUAUAAAAGAAACCGUGUAAGCAAAAGAAUUGUAGAUAAUGAGAUAUUUGAAGUGGCGUGACAUAGAAUCAAAAUGACUUUGAAAUCCCCUGUUCUGUUUUUAAAAAAUCAUUGUAAAUUGUACAAUGAUGAUUAUAAGAUAAAAUUUAUAUUCUUAGCUCCUUAAUGAGUCUAGUUUCAAAUGAAAUAAACGAGAAUAUAUUUUGAAUUCUGUACAAUGAGAAAUCUGAUUUAUAGUGAAGAAUGGUCAGAAUAGUCAAACAGUGAAACAGGGGAAAAUUUAAGAAAAAUCUGGUAUUGAUUGGUCAAACCAAAAAAUUUUGAAAAUUUUAGAGAUAUAAGAUAUAUGAGUCUAUCUUCAAGGAAAAUUAACAGCACAUGAUUUGGAGUUUUGUAGCUUCAGUUAUAAAUAAUUUAGUGACUGCUGUUCAGCAAGACAGCUUGUAGUGAUUGUGUGAUUAUGUCGUGAACAUUGAAUAAACUUGGUCAGAUGUAUGUAGUCCAUGUGAAAAUGAGACGUGAUAAAUAACAGAUAAAUAUAUGCUAUAUGUGCUUGACAUGUGACCUUGUGGUUCCAUGAAUCAAACAUGGAAAAAUAUGACAUGUUUUGGUUGGUAUGUAUUGGAUAUGUGCAAGUUUUGUUCAUACGAAUGAAUUGACAGUUAUCACACGAAUUUAAAAUCAUAGUCAUAAGUUAUUUGUAAAUAUAAAUAAGUGAAGCUAUUUAAUAAGGUUAUAUGAACUUAAGAGUACUAUGAAUGUAUAUGCAAUUGAGAUUAUUUUUCAAUUCGGAUUAGUGAUAUGGAAUUUUCAUAAUCAUUGAAAUGAUUUAUUUACUUAAGGCUUACUAAGCUUUCAAAGCUUAUUCUAUGUGUUUUUCCUAUGUCUAUAGGGCUUCAGAGAAAUUGCUUGGGUUGGAAGUCGAGGAGAUUUCAUCACACUAUCGAGUUAUCAUGUGAGUAGAUAAAGUUUGUAUAUCAUUAAGGUUUAAGGCAUGUAUAGAAUAGACUAAUAGUGGAAGGAUAUUUUGGUUAACGUAUUUAAGCCAUGCGAAUAUGGCAUCUUUUGGAUGUUUAAUUUUAUAAGUUAGAAAUUCGAUCACUGGUUGUGUCUAGCAUUUAUAUAAAAAAAUCUUUAUUUCAAGAGAAUGUUCAAAAUUUUACUGUUAAGAUCUGUUUUCUGAUUUUCGGUAACGCCUUGUCCUAUUCCGGCGACGGUUACGGGAUAGGGGUGUUACAGUGUUUGGUUGGAUCUCUGCAAUGUCUCAAAAUUAUUGAACUCCUUUGAGAUUAAUAAUAGACCGCAAAAGUGAAAUGUGAAAGUAAAAGUGUUAUAGUGAUAUAUGCAUUUCAAUGAUACAUGUGAACUAAUUAGUAAAUGAAUUAUGUAAAUUAAGUGUUAAUGUUAUGUUUGUGAUAUAAAAAAAUAUUUUGAUAUGUGAGUGUGAAAGUUGAUUAGUGACUAUAUGUGUUAAAGUAAAAAUUAUAAAUUAUAAAAUUAAUUUAAAUAAUUUUAUGUUUUGAAAAAUAAAUUAAAAGUUUAAGUAUAUUAAUGAAACAAAUUGUGUGAAUAAAUGUUAAUAAAAAAUAAAUUAAAUUGUAAAUAUAUAAAAAUAGUAAGAUUGAAUUCAAUUGAGUACUUACUAAGCUAUUCACAUAAUUUAACAUGUUUGUUUUUAAAACGCGUAGAUAAAAGAUAAAGUUAGAGAUAAAUCGAGGAUUGUAAUGCCAAUUUGGAUCGCAUCAGUCAAUAAGAUCCAAAGACAAGUUUUGGUAUAUAAAUUUUGAAAUUUAGAAUGACAUGUACUUAAGUUUAAUUAUAGUAUUUGUACGUAAGUAAUAGUGAAAAUACUUGAUAAAUUUUUGAAUAUUAUGUUAGCUUAGUGACUUGGUCAAUUUAGUAACUCAGUGACUAAGUACCCCUUUGGAUAGGCGAUGUGGUGCGUUUAGCUUAAUUUUUGUUUCAUGCUACAGUAUCACUACAGUAUCUAAUAUCACUGCCACCGUUAUUUUUACACUAAUUGCAGGUAAACACAACACUAAAUGUGACACCUAUUACUCGGGUUAUUGGUUUAACUCGGGUGAGAGGUGUUACACAAAGUUAUUGGAGUCUUCAUAUAUUUUGAAUUUAAUCUCCAUAUUUUUAUUUUCAGGAAUUUAGUUAUUCUGCUUUUUGAAAUUAAAAAUUUAGGUCCAUUUGUUAAUAUUGUUAAAAUUCUUUUAUUAAAUUUUUUGGUGUGGAAUUUUGAAAUAAUAAAAAAACUCAGUUGUAUCCAUGUAACAAAAAAAUAAUAUUGUAAUGAACUUGAAUUUAAUAAAGAGAGUUUUAACGGUGUUAACACUUCUUAAAAAUUCACUUAAUCAAUUUAAUUAGAAUAAAGUAUUUAGACUAACUAAUGACAUUAUAAAAUUGAGAUAUCAAAUUAUGUCAAAAUUAAAGUAUAUGGAUUAAAUCUAAAUUUGAGAAAAAUAUAGGGAUCAAAUUAAAAUUUAACCAUUCUUCAAAUCAAAGUAGAGAGUUUGGAAUUGAAAUUUACCCAUUAUGCUCAAAAUUGAAUGUCUCUUCAAAUCAAAGCCCUAUUCUAUAAUAGACCAAACAGAUCACUGAAAUGGAGCAGUACGAACGGCCCACAUGAAAAAAAUGGAGCGUAAAUUAAUCCUUGUCGCCAUUGGUUUCCACUCCAAAUCCAAAAUACAAAAACAUGUGAAAAUUUGCGGAAUCAGACAUUUCACCAGCACAGGAUUUUGAGAAGUUUGCGUUAGAUCCAAGUGAUAACCAAAAAACCAACACCAACAAACCAUACGUACGCUACACAAAUGCACCCUCACCAAUACUAAAUAGCAAUAUCCACCCUCCUUCACGGUGCCACAUUUUAUCAACCAGAUCUCGCCAUUUCCAGGUAUUUCAAUAUCGCAAUCUUUUCUCCAUUUCCUUUUUUCAUCGUCAAUCGAAUUCGCUUUUCUGUAAUCCUUUACGGUAAUAGGAUUGGAACCUUAUUGAGAUAGGAGAAAAUUGUUUGAAAACCAAAAGCAAUUUAAGUUAUUCGAAUCUUCAAUUGACACUUGGUUUUGACACUGCAGCUGUUGGUUUCAUAUAUAUAUAUAUGACGAUAUUUAUUUUUCUAUUUUUAUUAAUUUGUGUUUGUUUCUUUGUUUGUUGUGGACGUGGUUAAUGGGGGAAGAUCCUGAUGGUGGUUGAGACUCGGUUUUGAUUUCUAAAAGGAUCAGAGUGGGGGGCAAAAUUGGAGCGGAUCGGAUGGAGAAGAAUAAGAACCGUACUGAUCUGCUCACUGCCGGACGGAAAAAGGUUUCCCUUUUAUUUUACUCUUUUCAUAUUUGAUUAGGGGUAGUUUGGCCAGUUGCCUCUUUUCUUCCCAGCAUGCUCUGGUUGUUGUUUUCAACGAUUUUUUUUUUCUUUGAGGCCUGUAGUUUUUUAAUGCCUGCUUAUCGUUUACCUACAUGGUGUUUCUUUUGUCGUUACUGAUUUCUGAUGUUCUUCAGUACCAUGUUUACUUCUUUUGUUGAAGAAUCAAAUAUGUCUAGGUAUUCUGAACCUUAAGUAGAAGAUUGAACUUUAGCUGUUUUAAUUUCCUUCACUUCACUGAAGUAAAAUUUUAAUUAUUAUUAAUUUUGUUUCCCUUAUAAGAAAUGUCUGAGCUCAUUUUUUUAGGUAAUAGGAUUGAUUAGUACUUAAUUUUAUGUCAUCUUUUGUCAGCUUCAACAAUUUCGUCAGAAAAAGGAUGGUAAAGGAAGUAGCAGUAAAGGAAAAUCUUCUAAAAAAUCUAAAAAACCUGAGCAGCAUGGAUCUGAUAGUGAUGCACCAAACCCGGUUGCCAAACAAACAGCCUUGCUGCAGGUUUCUGAAGGGGAAACCACAGCUGGUGACUCAACAGUGUCACAGUCUGCUGAGAAGAGUUCAUUGCCUACUGGGCCCGAUACUGCAGCAUUUGUUUCACCAGUAGAGUCUAUUGUGUCUGAGGAGACAGGCAACAUCGAGACUCUAGCAGCCCAUAAUGCUGGAUUACCCGCUGAGGUGGUCACACUUGUUGAUUUUUCAGUCCCAAAUGGAGAGCAAAGUACUCAGACUGUUGAUAGUAUGACGAGCACAGAAAUAAGUUCCUCAAGAAGAGAUAUCCCAGUUUUGGAGGGGGAAAUAAAGCAUUAUAAUGUGCCACAUCCUUCUGCUUCAGUUGAUACCAAAGAGGGGACAGUGGUCAACAAGGAAAUGGGGCAAAAUUCACUGCUUUCAGCAGAUGAUUUGUCUGAUAACUACUUGUCUCAAGCAAGGGGAGAUCAGAUAACAGAUGUAGGUUGUGCUCUCCUCCUCUUGAUUUUAGUUUUCUUUCCCUCUAAGUCUCUUUGUUAGGGGAUUGCAUUGGGCAAAAUUAGGAUUAGCUAUGUAUGUAUUUGAUGUAUAAUUAAGUUCUCAUUUGUUGCUGGGUAGGUGCAAUGCAGGAAACUGAUGGUUUGGGGAUGAAUCAGCUUGAUAGAGGUGGUGAAGCAAAGUUUGAAGUUGAUGGUAGGCUUACUUUGUCUGGGCACGGUGAAUGUGAUGAACCUCUUGAAGGGGCUACUCCAGGAGUAACUAGCAUGGAGGGGGCAUCCAAUGAGACAGAGGAGGCCAUCAGCAGAGAUGCUAGCAUUGUAUCUACUGGGGCAUCUAGCAGUUCCUGGGAAGAUGGAAGUUUGGCUGCUAGUUCUCAAUUGACAAAUGAACAGGCCCCAGAUGUAAUACCCUAUUCACCUGUCAAAGAAGAACAAGAAAUGUGCCCUUCAUUUUCUGAUUACGGUGAGGGCAACAGUUUAGAAGGAAAUCAACAAUACUUACCAGAGGUCUCCUUUGUGUCUGAAGAUCUAGGUCAUGAAAGAUCUCUUCAGAUGACAAGAUUGAUUUCAUCAAAUCUGAUUCUGUCUCUUGCCAGAGGUGGUACUCCAGUCAAACUCUCUCAGCUAGUAGAGGCGAUGAGAAGUCUUGAUGAAGAUGAAUAUAGGCUUUUGCUGAACUCUCACGAAUCGGUUUCCCUUGAAAUAAGUGGGACCGAUAAUCUAUCACCUUCCUACCAUCCAGAUAUAUUCGAGAAAUUAAAAGAGGAGUUGUAUCUCACAAGUUUUUCAAAAGAUAUAUUUUACUUAAAGCUUUCUGAGCAGUCAGAUCUGCAUAUGGAAUCUGAACGGCAUUGUCAUCAGCUUCUUGAUGAAAUAUCUCUUCUUCAUUCUUCCAUCAAUAAGGUUCAUGAGACGAAUGCCUGCCUUGGAGAAGAGCUAGCACAAUGUAGGUCUGAACUCCAGAUUUCUGGAAGUGGAAGGGAGGAGUUGCAGAACGAACUUAAUACUGCUUUGUUGCAAACUGAGGAAUUUUCUUCUAGAGCAAAUGAGUUGCAGAGCAGCCUGGUAAGGUCACAAGAGGAUUUAUCAAGCCUUUUUUCUGAAUUGUCUGAGUACAAGAAUCAGGUGGCCACUUUGCAGGCAGAUAAUGUGAACUUGAAUAGGACCGUUUAUUCUCUGACUGAUGAGAGAAGCACAAUUGCACAGGAAAAGGAAUCUUCUCUCCUUGAGAAUGAAAAACUGUUACUGGAGUUAGCUAGAUACAAGGACUUGGUGAUCACUUCCCAGGUGGAGAGUGAGCAGUUAAACAUGAAUCUUGCUUCGCUGACAGAGGAGAGAAAGGCACUUGUGGAUGAGAAAAUGUUGUCCCUUGAGGAAAAUGAGAAGCUACGGACAGAAUUAGCUGAUUGCAAAAGCUUGAUUUCAGCUUUACAGGUGGAACAUUCUAAUAUAAUCAAUCUUGCUAUAAUGUCAGAAGAAAGAAUAAAGCUUGAAGAAGAGAAGGAGUUGCUUGCACAAGGGAAAGAGAAAGCUGCUCUUGAUUUGGAAGAGUGUAAAGAUUUGUUGGCUUCUUUACAACUUGAAAAAUCCAAAUUGAAUGGUGAACUUGCUUUCGUUACAGAGGAGAGAAAGAAGCUUGAGGAGGACAAGGAUUAUUUCAUCCAUGAGAAUGAAAGACUUGCUUCUGAGCUCCUUGUUCUUCAAGACCAGUUAACUAGACAGAAUGGGGAACAGAUGCAACUUGAGGCUGAACUAAAAGUAUUAACAGUACACCUAGAGAAGCUAAUGGAGGAAAAUAAUUUCCUCAAUGCCAGUUUGGAUGUGCAUAAGGCCAAGUUAGUGGAAACUGAUAGUAGGGGAAACCAGAAUAUUGAAGCCGGGAGUCAAGUAAAAGGUCUGGGUGUGAGUAGGGAGGUCCUUGAAAAUGCUGCCAACUAUGAACCUUCCUGCUUCAUACCUUUGAAGCAGGAUUCUGACGAAUCUACUGUGGUAUCGGAGAAACCUGGACCUAAUGACGUUGUUGGUGGGUCAUCACUUGUGCUGCUUGAACAGGAAGUCUUUGAUGAUUCUUCUGGAUUUCUAGUCCUGAAGGGACACUUGAAGGAGGCUGAGAGAAUAUUGCAAAACCUUGAAAUGACAAUUGAACAGAUGCACUCUCAUUCAGUCUCAUUACAGCACUCCAUCAGUAAAUCAGCUGCACCAGGAGUAUCAAAUCUAACUAAAGCCUCUGAACCACAGGUGCAUCAUGAUGAACCUGAGGUUGAGAGGAGAGAUUUGGCUGAAUAUCAGUUACUGGGAGACCUGUUUAAUUCAACUAAAGAGGUAACAGAAAAUUUAAGAGCUCUGCUUAAGCUCUUGGGUCAAGAUGCUGAUGAUGCCAGUUUUCUUUAUAGAGGAGAGAGGGAUUGUAGAAAAUCUGCUAAUUUCACAUUUCAAGAGCACAGGGUUCUACAUGAAACUUUGAAGGAAUACAGCGACAUUCUCCACGCAUCCAACAUUGAACUGGGGGUUCUGUAUGAAGCUUCUAAGCAACAUGCUUAUGGCAUUGAAGCUAAGUACAAUGAACUUAAGGUUCUCCAUGAAGCUCUAAAGCAGCAAGAAAGUAGCCUCAGUUCGGAAAAUGCUGAGCUUGGCAAGAAGUUGAGUGAGUAUCAGUUGAAACUUACUGAAAUGCAGAGUCAAUUCUCUGAUUUAAAGCAAAGGUCAGAUGAUACUACUUCUGCUUUAAAUCAACAGUUCAAAAAUUCGCAGAAGGAAGCAGCUGAGAGGGCUUUGAUGCCUGAACUAGAAUUGAGAUCUAUGGUUACUCAGAUUGUGGAGACAGUCAGGAGACUUGAUUUGUCUGUUGGGCAAGUUUCCAACUUCAGCUUCUCAGAUAACAGCAGUGAUAUCUCAGAUCUGAAUAGCCAGCUUGCUAUUUCUGUUGAUUCUGCCAUUAACAAUAUCCGAGAGCUACAAGAGCAACUAGAAAUUGCUCAUGCAGGUCAUGAUGCAAUAUUGAAUUCAUACAAAGAAGUAGAUGAGAAGUAUAAUGAUUUGCAUAGGAAUAAUGAAUUCAUGGUAGGGAUGCUACAUGAAUUGUAUAAUGAUCUGAAGAAACUUGUGAUUGAUUCAUGCGUUUUGGUGGGUGAGCCUGAAAUGAAUACGCAAGUUGAGAAGCUGCCUGAUCCCUUAGACUACAGCAAGUAUAAGAUCCUCAUUGAACAACUGGGGAACGUUUUGGGUGAAAGGCUCCAGCUCCAGUCUGUUAAUGACCAGCAGAAUUUAGAAAUGAUGAAUAGGACAAGAGACGUUGUGGAAAUGAGGAGAGAAUGUCUUCAUUCUAAUGCCAUUCAAAAGCUUAUUGAACAGGUUGAGAAUGUUGUAAAACUGGACGACUCUGAGACUGACUCAGAUAGAACUCCUGGUUCCCACCUUGAAUUGUUAGUUUGUUUGCUUGUCAAGAAAUACAAAGACAUUGAUCAACAGGUGAGUAAUCGUGGAGAGGAUCUUGGAUCUAAGAUGUUUGGGUUGACAGAAGUAGAGGAAAAGAUACAUCAGUUAGAUGCCUUGAGACUUCAGCAGGAAUUUGAAAUCCUCACUCUGAAAGAAAGUUUGCGCCAGAAAGAAGAAGCCCUUCAGACUGCACAUUCUGAGUUACUGAAAAAAGUAAGUGAAAUUGAACAGUCAGAACAGCGGGUAUCUUCUGUUAGGGAGAAGCUUAGCAUUGCUGUGGCAAAGGGGAAAGGUUUGGUGGUGCAGCGUGAUGGUCUUAAGCAGUCACUUGCAGAGACAUCUGCUGAACUAGAGAGACUCUCACAGGAAUUACAGGUAAAAGAUGCCCAGCUUCAGGAGUUAGAAAUAAAACUGAAGACUUACUCGGAGGCAGGUGAGCGUGUGGAAGCUUUGGAAUCUGAACUUUCAUACAUACGCAAUUCAGCUACUGCAUUAAGAGAAUCAUUUCUUCUCAAAGACUCUGUACUGCAGAGAAUUGAAGAGAUUUUAGAAGACUUAGACCUGCCUGAGCAUUUCCAUUCUAGAGAUAUCAUUGAAAAGGUUGAUUGGUUAGCAAGGUCCACCACUGAUAAUUCUUUGCCUGCCCCAGAUUGGGAGCAGAAAAGUUCUGUUGGAGGCUCCUACUCUGAUGCGGGUUUUGUCACUGUUGAUACCUGGAAAGAAGAUGCACAACCAACCUUAACUUCAGGGGAUGACUGGAGAAGAAAAUAUGAGGACCUUGAGAGCAAGUUUUAUGGGUUGGCAGAACAAAAUGAAAUGCUUGAACAGUCCUUGAUGGAAAGAAACCACUUGGUGCAAAGAUGGGAGGAACUUUUGGGCAGAAUUGAUAUGCCUUCACAGAUGCGGUCCAUGGAACCCGAGGAAAAGAUUGAAUGGCUAGGUGGGGCACUUUCAGAGGCUAAUCAUGAUAAAAAUUCUUUGCAGAAGAAGAUUGAUGACCUUCAAAAUUAUUUUGGGUCAGUAGCUGCUGAUUUGGAAGAGUCUGAAAAGAGAAUAUCAGAUCUUGACUCAGACCUUCAAUCAGUUGCCCUUGAGAGGGAGCACCUUUCUGAAAGAUUGGAUGCUUUGACUUCUGAUAAUCAUAACCUUGCAGCAAAGGCAACUCAAUUUGAAGUUGAGAAUGAAAAACUUCAGAUUAAAGUUAGUGGUUUGAAGGAAGAAUUGGAUAAGAGGAUUGAGGAAGAGGAGGAGAAUCUUCUCAAGAUGGAGGGUGAAAUAAGGAGAUUGCAGUACUUGGUUUGUGAUGUGUUACAGGAUCCUGAAGCAAAAGAUUUGGGUUCUGGUGGCAGUAGUACUGCAUCAUUAGAAGGAUUACUGAAGAAGCUUAUAGAGAAUUACACUAAACUCAAGUCUGUGAAUCCUGAACCUGUGGAUAUUGAAAUCGACCAGACUAAGCUAUGUGAUCCAACCCUUGAUCAAGCUGGAAGCAGAGAUGCUCUAACUAGCCAGGAGGAUGUAGCUUCUUUGAAAAAAGAACUGGAGGAAGUGCAGCAUGACUUGAUGCAAGCGAAGGAGGAAAGAGAUGAAUACUUCGGAAAGCAUCAAUCUUUGCUUCAUGAAGUUCAAGCACUUGAAAGGAAAGGAGAGGAGUUGCAAGGGCUACUUAAUCAAGAAGAGCAGAAGUCAGCUUCUGUGAGAGAAAAGUUAAAUGUUGCUGUUAGAAAAGGGAAAUCUUUGGUGCAACAACGGGAUGGUCUGAAGAAAACAAUUGAAGAGAUGAAUGCUGAGCUGGAGCGCUUGAAAUCUGAGCUUAGCAACCAGGAAAAUGCUCUGGCUGAUUAUGAACUAAAGAUGAGGGACUUCUCCACUUACCCCAAAAAAGUAGAAGCCUUAGAAGCUGACAAUUUGUUCUUGAGGAAUCAUUUGACAGAAACCGAACGCAUGUUGGAGGAGAAAAGACAUACUUUAAAUGGGAUAUUAAAUGCAAUAGCUGACAUUGAUGCUGGUGUUGAAAUUGAUACCUUUGAUCCAGUGGAGAAGUUGGGACAAAUUGGGAAAGUGUGCCAUGAUUUGCUUGCCUCUGUGUCAUCUUCUAAACAAGAGUCGCAGAAGUCCAAGAGAGCUGCAGAGCUACUGCUUGCAGAGUUGAAUGAAGUUCAAGAGAGAAACGAUGGUCUUCAGGAAGAUCUAGCCAAAAUUUCGGUUGAGCUUACAGAAGUCACGAAGGAUAGGGAGGUGGCAGAGGCUGCAAAACUUGAAGUUCUUUCACGGCUCGAAGAGUUAUCUACAGUUCACUCUGAAGGAAAAAGAAAACAGUAUUCUGAAUUAAUGAUGCUACAGUCCUGUGUGAAUGAAGUCACAAAGGGCUUCAAUGAUAUUCAAAAUCUACUUUACAGUGCUUUUAUGAAGGACUUGGAAUUUUUGCAAAAUUUGGAGGUUAACAUUAAGUUGUGCUUGGAAGGGGAUGAUGCCCAAGAUGUGGCUGGCUUGCCAUACAGUAUCUCCAGUGAUUUAGAGGACAAGGUAAUGUUUUUCAUGGCCUGUCUUUUGUUUGUGCAUUGGCUGCUUUUUUUUCUUUUUUUGGUAAAUCUAGUGGUUUGCCUUUCAUGUUUUCUUUUGUAUUUUCCUUCUGCAACCAGUUGAUAAUUGUGCUUGCUGUGUUUCCACCAUAAAUAUAUUUUAUUUCUUUGAGUUGCAUGCAAGUCAUCUAUAUUGAGCAAAAACUUUUGAUUGGCCAAAAGAAAAAACCCCGAAGACCUCAUCUGUUUCUUGGGGUAUUCUCUACGAAUGGAUUGUUAUUCUAAUUGUUUCUUGGUUUCCUCUUCAGGUGAACUUUCAAUCCACAGAUACUUCAUCAAUUGCCAACAUACAGGAACCUGUGGAUGACAAUGCUAUAGUUGAAGUUUGCAGUUCAAUCUGGCAUCACCUGCAGGAUUUGACAACUGAAAUUACUGCACUCAAAGAAAAGUUCAUUGGGUGCUCAAAAUCAUUGCAUGAACAAGGUUACAGUCUAUGGAACUUAGUGGGAAUCUUGCAUAGAGAGAGAAAUUCUCAAAAAGAAUCUUUUGAAGAUAUGAGGAGGAAUAUUUUGCAUUUAGAAUCAAUUGGGAAAGAGAAAGACAUGGAGUUAGUUGUCUUGAGAAGGAAUUUUGCCUUGCUUUAUGAAGCUUGUGCUAAUUUGGUCUUGGAAAUUGAAAAUGGAAAAGCCGAGCUGUUAGGAAAUAGUUCAACUACUGCAGAUCUGGAAUUAGCUGGAGCACUUGCACUUGGCGGACAAAACAGAGUUUUGUCCGAGGAACAAAUCAAGACUAUGGCUGAUAAACUUUUAUCAACAAUGAAAGAUUUUUUGAGCAUGAAAUAUCAAAUUGCUGAAGGAAGCCAAAGGGAGAUGAAAAUUACUGUAGAAAAUUUACGGAAAGAUCUUCAGGAGAAGGACAUCCAAAAAGAUCAGAUAUUCGCAGAGCUUGUUGGUCAAAUUAAGUUAGCUGAAGCUGCUGCCAUGAAUUACUCACGAGAUCUUCAAUCGUCAAAAACACUGGUGCAUGAUUUGGAAAAAGAACUGGAAGUGGUGAAGGAAGAAAAUAAGUCAUUGCAGCAGAGAGUAAAAGAACUGCAGGAUGUGCAUGCCAACUCAGUGGAAUUGCAUGAUAGGGUCAAAUCACUGACAGAUGUGUUAUCAUCCAAAGACCAAGGUAUGUGUAUUGGUUGAAUCCUACUUUGUUUUACAUAUAGUUGUGUUUGUGUGUAUUAGAGUUGGGAUCCUUAUUUGUGAAUGCUAUUUGCUGACAGAAAUCGAGGCCCUUAUGCAAGCACUUGAUGAGGAGGAGGUCCAAAUGGAAGAGUUGACAAAAAAGAACGAGGAACUAGAAAAAGUCCUGCAACAGAAGAACAUAGAUUUAGAGAACCUUGAAGCUUCUCAUGGGAAGGUUGUGAAAAAGCUUUCCAUCACUGUGAGCAAGUUUGAUGAGCUUCGUGAUCUAUCACAAAGUCUUCUUAUCAAGAUUGAACAGCUUCAAUCAGAACUACAAGAUCGGGAUGCUGAGAUUUCAUUCUUAAGACAAGGGGUCACCAGAUGCACCAAUGAUCUUCUUGCUGCAUCACAAAUGAACUCUAAAAGAGAAUCAAAUGAGAUACAUGAGUUUUUGACUUGGUUUGAGGGAAUUGUUUCUUGUGUUGGGUUACCCCAUCUGCAUUUUGAUAUGAAGGACAUUCAGGUGCCUGAAUACAAGGAAAUAAUACAGAAAAAGCUUAGCUCUAUUACAUCUGAACUUGAGGACCUACGUGUGGCUGCACAAAGUAAGGAUGAAUCGUUGCAAGCAGAACGGACUAAAGUGGAGGAGCUAACACGUAUGGAAGAAACCCUCAAGAAGACUUUGCAAGAGAAAGAAUCCCUAUUAAAUUUGCUUGAAGGUGCAGGAGAUGUGGAUCAUGCAGCUAGUGCAAACUCUGAAAUUGUGCAAGUUGAACCUGUGGUAAGUUAUUUUAUGUGUUUGCAAUUCGCUUUAACAGCAGAUGGGGCAUUAGGACCUCCAACAAAGCCAGUGAGAGGCAAAACUCUGAUGCAAGAAUACAACUUCUUUUUCCUUAUUUCAUUCUAUAAGGGAGAAGUCUUGGCUUGGUGUACUAGACAUUCAUAGAUGCAUGAAUAGAACUAAAGAAGCUGAAUCUUUAUUGCAGAUAUACUGGCAGUUCAUCCAUAUAAUAAUAUAUUUUGCUUAUUAAGUGGCAGUUUGAUAAUUUCAUCUCAUCUGCGCACAAGAAUGUGUUCUAGCUUUUGCAUUGUCACUUGCAAAAAAAUACUGAUAUUGAGUAAUCUAUUUUGCUAAACAUUUCUGUAGAUAAACCAGUGGGCUGUACCAGGGAACUCCACGGCUUCCCAAGUUCGUAGUUUGCGUAAAGUCAAUAAUGAUCAAGUUGCUAUUCAUAUAGAUUCAGAUGAUGUUAGUAAUAGUAGGUUAGAAGAUGAAGAUGAAGAUAAAGGUACUCUUUACUGCUUUUCUGUUCACAUCUUUUUCUGCUUCAAGUGAAGAGAUAACUUUUUAUUUAGAAGCAUACAUCCUUUAGUUCUUACAUUUUAAUUUCAAUGUUUCUGCAGUUCAUGGUUUCAAAUCACUUACCACAUCAAGAAUUGUUCCAAGGUUUACAAGACCAGUAUCUGACAUGAUAGAUGGCUUAUGGCAAGUGUUAUUUUUCUGUUUUUGUUGAUUUGAAGCACAAAACAAAGUAACCGAGCUGAGAUUUAUUUAUUCAUUUACGCACCAAAACUAGCCCCUUUUAUGUAACCAUGUUGUGUUUAUGUAAUCUGCCAGGGUUUCUUGUGAUCGGGCACUCAUGCGACAACCUGCCUUACGGCUUGCCAUUAUGAUCUAUUGGGCUAUAUUGCAUUCACUGUUAGCAGCUUUUGUAUUUUGACAAGCCAAACCUGGUAGCGGCCAUUUCUCUGAUGGUUAUCUACUCGUUUGUGUCGAAAGGAGUGGCAACCAUGACUGCGUACUUGGUCCAUAGUCAUUUUAUUAUUAUCAUUAUUCUUUUAUUUUUCCUUUGUAAAACAUGGUCCAUUAAUUGAUUAUUUAGAUAAACCAGGCAACUUUGAUUUGCCCUUUUUAUUUGUAUGCAUCUCAGGUUGCUCGGUUAUGUCGUUGAAUAAGAAAAAUCUUUUUGUUACUAUUAAGGAUUGUUUACUUUGAACCUAACAAAGGUGAUAUGAUGCUUACCCUUGUUAUAAAAUGAUAUGAAGAGAAAUGGCAUUAUGCUGCGUCAUGAUUUUGUUCUGUUUUAGCUAUUUUGAUCCAAAUCUGAAAAUCAUAUCUAAUCAACUUAAAUUCAAAUUAAAAUGCGUAAUACGAAAUGAAUCCAACAAAAUUUGAAAUUAAAAUUAGUAUUAUUUUCCUCGAAGCAUUCUAACCUAAAUUCUCGUUUCAAAUGGAAUAUUGGGUAGGACUUGGCCAAUCGCCUCUCGUGUGAUUCAAUUUAAUUUUAAAAUAAAAUUCCCUUUUUGUUUAAAUUAUUCAAAGUCACCUAUCUCUAACCUUAUUAAGAUUAUAAAAUUUUGUUUAAUUAAUAAUUCCCAAGAAACAUAAGCCCCUCCCAAAUAUAUCAUCCAAUCAAGUCUCUUCGAAAUAAUUAACAAAAUUCUGUAUAAAAAAUUUAUUCAGUUACAGAGAGCAUUAGAAUAUAAAAAAAAGUUUUUUUUUUUAACAUCCCGUAAAGCUGUAGACAAUCAUAGCCAACUUUCUCCUUUGCCAUGCUUGCCCUUUACUUUAUUUUUUGCCCUUUCAUUUCUUCAUUUUCCACUCUUCUUCUUCCUCCAGAAAAAAAUUACAUCAGCUUUCAACAGAUUCCUCUCUAUCUUUUGAGACUUUCGCUGUGUUAAACAAGGAAAAGAUUUCUUUACGAUUUCCGGAAAUCUUUUCUUUGCCAAACCAUUUUCCCCUCUCUCUGUGUUCAUCAAAAAGGGAAAAAAAAAAUAAGAAUGGGGGCAGCGAAAGUCUCAAAUUCCAGCUCCGAGGAUCAAAAUGUGAGUAACUACAAUGAAACUGAUGUGAUUUUGAAUGUUUAUGAUCUCACUCCUCUCAAUAAUUACUCUUAUUGGGUUGGUUUCGGGAUUUUCCACUCCGGUAUUGAAGGUUCGUUCCCUCUUUUCUUUAAUCCUUUCAUAUUUUUUUUGGUAUGGAAUUUCUUUAAAUCGUAUCUUUUUAAGAUGUGGGUAUUGGUUAGUUUAGCUCCUUAUUGCUUGAAAAUGGAGAAUUUGGUUUCUCUUCAUAGAAAAUAGAUAUGGGUUUGCUGAAUUAUUUUAAAGGGUUUUUUUAUAUGUUAUUAUCUCCAAUAUGUAGCUUAGGAACAAAUAUUUAUUUGGGUUUUUCGGAAUAUAAUACUUUUAUGGAGAUCUUUUGAAGCUUACUUGAAUCUUUGGAUUAACAAAUGAAUUCAUAUCCAGUUUUCUAUUACUUUUUGUUGGGUGUAUUUGCAACAUUGGUCACACUUAAUAUGAGCUGGAAAAAAAAGGCAAUUUGGGGUGGAAAAUUUUCAAAUUUGUAUGUUAAAAAUUGUUAAUCAGAGUUUAAUAUGUUAUAUGAAUUUAAUAACAUCUUUGCCUUUCGGUCCUAAAAUUUUUCAGAUUAAAUGAAUAUAUAUUGUGGUUAAGGACUUUAAGUUCUAUAAGUUUGAACUUAAGAUUAGGCUGUUCUUGUUUUGGUGUUAAUAGCAUGCUUGAAAUAAGACAGCUUAUUGCUAAAUUCAGCAUGUCCAUUUAGUCGUUUGAAUUCGGAAUUAAGCUGUUUUGACUAAAAACGAGAGAUGGAAAACAUUUUUUUUUUUGGGUAUAUGACAUCUAUUUUAGUUCAUAUGUUGAUUAUCUUUUUUAAUCUAGGAAACUGAAGUAUCUAUCUAUCUCAAUAUUUAUGAACAGUUCAUGGGAAAGAGUAUGGGUUUGGGGCCCAUGAUUUUCCGGUUAGUGGAGUUUUUGAAGUGGAACCAAAGAGCUGCCCUGGUUUUAUCUAUCGAUCUUCCAUCUUGUUGGGGCGCAUAAACAUGCCUUAUUCUGAAUUCAGAGAAUUUAUCGAGAAUGUAGCUUCCGAGUAUCAUGGAGAUACCUACCACCUAAUCUCCAAGAACUGUAAUCAUUUUACAGAUGACAUGGCACAGAGAUUGAUAGGCAGACAUAUCCCUGGGUGGGUGAACCGGAUGGCUCGAC